GGAAACUCGAGCUAAUACCGCAUACGCCCUUCGGGGGAAAGCGGGGGAUCUUCGGACCUCGCGCUAUUGGAUGAGCCUGCGUUGGAUUAGCUUGUUGGUGAGGUAAAAGCUCACCAAGGCGACGAUCCAUAGCUGGUCUGAGAGGAUGAUCAGCCACACUGGGACUGAGACACGGCCCAGACUCCUACGGGAGGCAGCAGUGGGGAAUAUUGCGCAAUGGGGGAAACCCUGACGCAGCCAUGCCGCGUGUGUGAAGAAGGCCUUAGGGUUGUAAAGCACUUUCAAAAGGGAAGAAAAGUUGGUCGUUAAUAGCGGCCAGCCCUGACAUUACCUUUAGAAGAAGCACCGGCUAACUCCGUGCCAGCAGCCGCGGUAAUACGGAGGGUGCGAGCGUUAAUCGGAAUUACUGGGCGUAAAGCGCGCGUAGGUGGUCUGUUAAGUCAGCUGUGAAAGCCCUGGGCUUAACCUGGGAACUGCAGUUGAUACUGGCAGGCUAGAGUACGAGAGAGGGAGGUAGAAUUCCAUGUGUAGCGGUGAAAUGCGUAGAUAUAUGGAGGAAUACCAGUGGCGAAGCGGCCUCCUGGCUCGAUACUGACACUGAGUGCGAAAGCGUGGGUAGCAAACAGGAUUAGAUACCCUGGUAGUCCACUCCGUAAACGAUGUCUACUA
RNAcentral lists this ribosomal RNA (669 nucleotides) under uncultured Gammaproteobacteria bacterium. RNAcentral's name for it is "bacterial SSU rRNA". It matches the Rfam family "Bacterial small subunit ribosomal RNA", at positions 152 to 818 of the family's 1533-position model. The record is from RNAcentral. Lineage: Bacteria; Pseudomonadati; Pseudomonadota; Gammaproteobacteria.